Molecule: ribosomal RNA, 589 nt
Filed under: Meyerozyma caribbica
Lineage: Eukaryota; Fungi; Ascomycota; Pichiomycetes; Serinales; Debaryomycetaceae
Also listed under: 1 other name
Description: partial large subunit ribosomal RNA
Rfam family: Eukaryotic large subunit ribosomal RNA
Source: RNAcentral
GCGGAGGAAAAGAAACCAACAGGGAUUGCCUUAGUAGCGGCGAGUGAAGCGGCAAAAGCUCAAAUUUGAAAUCUGGCACCUUCGGUGUCCGAGUUGUAAUUUGAAGAUUGUAACCUUGGGGUUGGCUCUUGUCUAUGUUUCUUGGAACAGGACGUCACAGAGGGUGAGAAUCCCGUGCGAUGAGAUGCCCAAUCCUAUGUAAGGUGCUUUCGAAGAGUCGAGUUGUUUGGGAAUGCAGCUCUAAGUGGGUGGUAAAUUCCAUCUAAAGCUAAAUAUUGGCGAGAGACCGAUAGCGAACAAGUACAGUGAUGGAAAGAUGAAAAGAACUUUGAAAAGAGAGUGAAAAAGUACGUGAAAUUGUUGAAAGGGAAGGGUUUGAGAUCAGACUCGAUAUUUUGUGAGCCUUGCCUUCGUGGCGGGGUGACCCGCAGCUUAUCGGGCCAGCAUCGGUUUGGGCGGUAGGAUAAUGGCGUAGGAAUGUGACUUUGCUUCGGUGAAGUGUUAUAGCCUGCGUUGAUGCUGCCUGCCUAGACCGAGGACUGCGAUUUUAUCAAGGAUGCUGGCAUAAUGAUCCCAAACCGCCCGUCUU